GACGGAGGGUGCGAGCGUUGUUCGGAAUUACUGGGCGUAAAGCGCGGUCAGGUGGCUCUUUAAGUCCUUUGUGAAAUUCCGGGGCUCAACUCCGGAUGUGCAUAGGAUACUGGAGAGCUGGAGACUGGUAGAGGAGAGCGGAAUUCCUGGUGUAGGGGUGGAAUUCGUAGAUAUCAGGAAGAACACCGGAGGCGAAGGUGGCUCGCUGGGCCAGUUCUGACAUUCAUCCGCGAAAGCGUGGGGAGCAAACAGG
This 253-nucleotide ribosomal RNA is filed under the name uncultured bacterium. RNAcentral describes it as "partial 16S ribosomal RNA". It matches the Rfam family "Bacterial small subunit ribosomal RNA", at positions 524 to 776 of the family's 1533-position model. The record is from RNAcentral.